Molecule: ribosomal RNA, 253 nt
Filed under: uncultured bacterium
Lineage: Bacteria
Description: partial 16S ribosomal RNA
Rfam family: Bacterial small subunit ribosomal RNA
Source: RNAcentral
GACGUAGGGGGCAAGCGUUAUUCGGAAUUAUUGGGCGUAAAGCGCUCGUAGGCUGGACGACAAGUCCGUGUUGAAAGACCUCGGCUCAACUGAGGGACCGGCUCGGAUACUGUCGUUCUUGAGGCAAUCAGAGGGUGAUGGAAUUCCCGGUGUAGCGGUGAAAUGCGUAGAUAUCGGAAGGAACACCAGUGGCGAAGGCGAUCACCUGGGGUUGUUCUGACGCUGAGGAGCGAAAGCUAGGGGAGCAAACGGG